This 253-nucleotide ribosomal RNA is filed under the name uncultured bacterium. Its description in RNAcentral is "partial 16S ribosomal RNA". It matches the Rfam family "Bacterial small subunit ribosomal RNA", at positions 524 to 776 of the family's 1533-position model. The record is from RNAcentral.
UACAGAGGUGGCAAGCGUUGUUCGGAAUUACUGGGCGUAAAGUGUGCGCAGGCGGCCAUGCAAGUCGAGUGUGAAAGCCCCGGGCUUAACUUGGGAAUUGCGCUCGAAACUACGUGGCUGGAGUGUGGCAGAGGAAGGUGGAAUUCCACGUGUAGCGGUGAAAUGCGUAGAGAUGUGGAGGAACACCAAUGGCGAAGGCAGCCUUCUGGGCCAACACUGACGCUCAUGCACGAAAGCGUGGGGAGCAAACAGG